CCUACGGGUGGCAGCAGUGGGGAAUAUUGCUCAAUGGGGGAAACCCUGAUGCAGCAACGCCGCGUGAGUGAUGAAGUUUUUCGGUUUGUAAACUCCUUUCAUCAGAGAAGAUAAUGACGGUACCCAACGAAUAAGCACCGGCUAACGCCGUUCCAGCAGCCGCGGUAAGUCGGAGGGUGCAAGAGUUACUCGGAAUCACUGGGCGUAAAGAGCGCGUAGGCGGGAGUGCAAGUCUGAUGUGAAAGCCUAUGGCUUAACCGACGAACUGCAUUUGAAACUGUUAUUCUUGAGUACGGGAGAGGUAGGCGGAAUUCUUGGUGUAGGGGUGAAAUGCGUAGAUAUCAGGAGGAACACUAAUGGCGAAGGCGACCUGCUGGACCGUAACUGACGCUGAUGCGCGAAAGCGUGGGGAGCAAACAGGAUUAGAUACCCCAGUAGUC
RNAcentral lists this ribosomal RNA (440 nucleotides) under uncultured bacterium. RNAcentral's name for it is "partial 16S ribosomal RNA". It matches the Rfam family "Bacterial small subunit ribosomal RNA", at positions 338 to 795 of the family's 1533-position model. The record is from RNAcentral.